This is a long non-coding RNA of Xenopus laevis (African clawed frog), 981 nucleotides long. RefSeq lists it as uncharacterized. The record is from RefSeq and is a predicted model, not a curated record. The transcript has 5 exons. Lineage: Eukaryota; Metazoa; Chordata; Amphibia; Anura; Pipidae.
GAGAAAAACCUUCACUCCCUGUGACAUUAGAAGAAUGGGAUGCUGCAGGUCUGAGGUCAGGAAAGGAACAAACGCUUCAGAAUAAAGGGAAGUGGGAUCUUCAGAUGCAGAUAGUAACAUCCACCCCCAGGAGAAACCUACUAAUUUGGCCUUGAAUGUUCAGUUUUCCACAGGAACACAGCAGAGAGGAAGACAGCUACAACUCCAGUACCCUGCAGGACUGCAAUGCCUACAGUGAUUUUAAAAUGCUCAAAUAACGUGUGUAAGAAGAAAUUCCCAUCAUCUUUUGAGGAAUAAACAAAAUGCUUGCGAUUGAUUCAAUGGUUGAAAAGCUGAAGACGGACUAGGCAGAACUCGUGGGAUAGAAUGGCUAUGCGUAUACAUCUGUGUGAAACAUGGGUCAGAAUGGCAAUGAAAGUAACAAUGUUAAAGCUAUGUAUGGCUGAUUUUUUGGAGGGACUCACAACUAUUGCUUUUUCAUGGAUAUGCACCUGUGGACUGGGGUGAACUCUGUUGUGAAGAUGGAAGAACUAGAACCAACAUGCAGCCAAAAAAAGCACCAGAAAUUUAGGAGCGAGAAAUGUAAAUGUAAUGAGAACAGCAAUUAAUACAUGUAUGGCUCAGUAUGAAAUUUAGUUCACAUCCUCUCCUUAUUCUCCUUAUUCGUUUUGAAUAUAAUUUAUUUUUCUAUACAUAGAAAACAACCACUAAUUUGCAUGGGCUUAGAACAUUUUUUUCAAUUUGCUACUCAGGAGUAAAAAUCCUUUCUGGCUUCAAAAUGGUAAUGUGACCACUCCCUGGAUAAACAUCAUAUAAGGGGUCAUUCUCAAUGAGGUGUUUCUGUCAAGGAAAAAUAUGUUUGAACCUGAAUGGAAACUUAUAGGGAUUCUGUCAUGAUUUUUAUGAUGUAGUUUUUAUUUCUAAAUUACAAUGUUUACACUGCAAAUAAUUCACUCUACAAUAUAAAAUUUCAUUCCUGAA